UCUCCUAUAGCUCAGUUGGUAGAGCGUGCGGCUGUUAACCUCAAGGUCACUGGUUCAAACCCAGCUGGGAGAG
RNAcentral lists this transfer RNA (73 nucleotides) under Phytophthora infestans T30-4. It matches the Rfam family "tRNA". From Rfam's summary of the family: Transfer RNA (tRNA) molecules are approximately 80 nucleotides in length. The record is from Rfam by way of RNAcentral. Lineage: Eukaryota; Oomycota; Peronosporomycetes; Peronosporales; Peronosporaceae.